GACGAACGCUGGCGGCGUGCUUAACACAUGCAAGUCGAGCGAGGUCCAACCAGUGGCAACACUGGGGAAGACCUAGCGGCGAACGGGUGAGUAACACGUGAGCAACCUGCCCCGAAGACUGGGAUAACACCGGGAAACCGGUGCUAAUACCGGAUGCCCUCACCGGGCCGCAUGACCUGGUGAGGAAAUGAAUUUUGUCUUCGGGAGGGGCGUCGCGGGCUAUCAGCUUGUUGGUGGGGUAACGGCUCACCAAGGCUACGACGGCUAGCUGGUCUGAGAGGACGAUCAGCCACACUGGGACUGAGACACGGCCCAGACUCCUACGGGAGGCAGCAGUGGGGAAUCUUGCGCAAUGGGCGAAAGCCUGACGCAGCAACGCCGCAUGGGGGAUGAAUGCCUUCGGGUUGUAAACCCCUUUC
RNAcentral lists this ribosomal RNA (419 nucleotides) under uncultured bacterium. RNAcentral's name for it is "bacterial SSU rRNA". It matches the Rfam family "Bacterial small subunit ribosomal RNA", at positions 28 to 437 of the family's 1533-position model. The record is from RNAcentral.